RNAcentral lists this ribosomal RNA (334 nucleotides) under uncultured eukaryote. RNAcentral describes it as "partial 18S ribosomal RNA". It matches the Rfam family "Eukaryotic small subunit ribosomal RNA", at positions 1470 to 1796 of the family's 1831-position model. The record is from RNAcentral.
CCCUUGGAUGUCCGGGGCCGCACGCGCGCUACACUGAAGGAAUCAGCGUGGCUUUCUCCCUGACCCGAAAGGGUUGGGAAACCCGUUGAAUCCCCUUCGUGAUAGGGAUUGGGGCUUGAAAUUGUUCCCCAUGAACGAGGAAUUCCCAGUAAGCGCGAGUCAUAAGCUCGCGUUGAUUACGUCCCUGCCCUUUGUACACACCGCCCGUCGCUACUACCGAUUGAACGGUUUAGUGAGGGCCUCGGAUUGGUCUCGGCCCGCUCUUUACCGGGCGGCGCCGUUGGUCGAGAAGACGCUCGAACUUGAUCGUUUAGAGGAAGUAAAAGUCGUAACA